UGAGUCUCCACAGCAUUCUCGAGUUCUGUCGAUGGAUAAACCCCCACCAUCGUCGACCAGAUUCUUCACGACAGACGGACUCCUACGGGAGCCAGACUUCGCCGACUCUGACUGCAGGAAGACUUCAUCCGGACUCCUACGGGAGCCGGACUUCACCGACUCCAACUACAGGAAGACUUCGUUCGGACUCCUACAGGAGCUGGACUUCAUCCCCGACCUCAAUUGCAGGUAGACUUCGCCCGGAC
RNAcentral lists this long non-coding RNA (245 nucleotides) under Elaeis guineensis (African oil palm). RNAcentral's name for it is "long non-coding RNA (EGUI_LNC066572)". The record is from RNAcentral. Lineage: Eukaryota; Viridiplantae; Streptophyta; Magnoliopsida; Arecales; Arecaceae.